Molecule: ribosomal RNA, 755 nt
Filed under: uncultured bacterium
Lineage: Bacteria
Description: bacterial SSU rRNA
Rfam family: Bacterial small subunit ribosomal RNA
Source: RNAcentral
UGCAAGUCGAGCGCCCCGCAAGGGGAGCGGCAGACGGGUGAGUAACGCGUGGGAAUCUACCCUUUUCUACGGAAUAACGCAGGGAAACUUGUGCUAAUACCGUAUGUGUCCUUCGGGAGAAAGAUUUAUCGGGAAAGGAUGAGCCCGCGUUGGAUUAGCUAGUUGGUGGGGUAAAGGCCUACCAAGGCGACGAUCCAUAGCUGGUCUGAGAGGAUGAUCAGCCACAUUGGGACUGAGACACGGCCCAAACUCCUACGGGAGGCAGCAGUGGGGAAUCUUGCGCAAUGGGCGAAAGCCUGACGCAGCCAUGCCGCGUGAAUGAUGAAGGUCUUAGGAUUGUAAAAUUCUUUCACCGGGGACGAUAAUGACGGUACCCGGAGAAGAAGCCCCGGCUAACUUCGUGCCAGCAGCCGCGGUAAUACGAAGGGGGCUAGCGUUGCUCGGAAUUACUGGGCGUAAAGGGAGCGUAGGCGGACAUUUAAGUCAGGGGUGAAAUCCCGGGGCUCAACCUCGGAAUUGCCUUUGAUACUGGGUGUCUUGAGUAUGAGAGAGGUGUGUGGAACUCCGAGUGUAGAGGUGAAAUUCGUAGAUAUUCGGAAGAACACCAGUGGCGAAGGCGACACACUGGCUCAUUACUGACGCUGAGGCUCGAAAGCGUGGGGAGCAAACAGGAUUAGAUACCCUGGUAGUCCACGCCGUAAACGAUGAUUGCUAGUUGUCGGGAUGCAUGCAUUUCGGUGACGCAGCUAACGCAU